RNAcentral lists this ribosomal RNA (1134 nucleotides) under Triticum aestivum (bread wheat). RNAcentral describes it as "partial small subunit ribosomal RNA". Lineage: Eukaryota; Viridiplantae; Streptophyta; Magnoliopsida; Poales; Poaceae. The record is from RNAcentral.
AUGAUUUCAUGGGCCUCGUCUCUGCCUCGGAAGCUCGUGGUGGCGGCCGCUCUUCUUGCGCUGUCCGUGGCCAUCGCGGCGUCGCCUGCGCCGGCGAACCAGAGCAGCUGCUACAAGCGUCUAUUCAGCUUCGGUGACUCUCUGAUCGACACCGGCAACUACAUCGUCCACUUCUCCGCCACGCCGGGUCCGGUCGUGGAGUUGCCAUACGGCGAGACCUUCUUCGGCCGGCCCACCGGCCGCUGGUCCGACGGCCGCCUCAUCGUAGACUUCAUCGUGGAGAGGCUGGGUUUCCCGUACUGGCCAGCGUACCUGCAGGCGGCGGCCGGGAAGUCGCCGGCAGAGGAGUUCCGGUACGGCGUGAAUUUCGCUGUGGCCUCGGCCACGGCGUUGAGCCAGGAUUUCUUCAGGAAGAAGCGCCUCCGUGUUGACCUGAUGCCCCCCUACUCCCUCGACGUCCAGAUCGGGUUGUUCAAGAAAGUUGUCGCCGUGCUCGGCUCCACGGACCAAGAGAGGAAGGCGGCAAUGGCGAGCUCGCUGUUCCUGGUGGGGGAGAUUGGCGCCAACGACUACAUCCAACCCUUGUUCCAGAACAAGACGCUCGAAUGGGUCAGGCCCCUCGUACCCCGGAUCAUCAGGUCCAUCGCUCUGUCCAUCGAGGCUCUAAUCGAGCUGGGCGCCAAGACCAUGUACGUGCCAGGCAUCUUCCCCAUGGGGUGCACCCCGCUGUUCCUCGGCAUCUUCCCCGGCGACGACCGCGACCCCGCCACAGGCUGCCUCCGGUGGCUCAAUGACCUCACCCUCGUCCACAACCACAUGUUGAAAUCCCAGCUCGACGAGCUCCGCCGCAACCAUCCGGGCGUCUCCAUCACUUACGUCGACUACUAUGAGGAGAUGCUCAGCCUGGUCACCAAGCCGGUGGAGAAUGGGUUCGCUGCAGAGACGGUGCUGGAUGCGUGCUACCCCGUCUUCGUUCCUGGGAGGGGGGUGGUGCGGUGCCCGGACCCGUCGAGGUACGUGUCAUGGGAUGGUGUACACUUGACGGAGGCAGCAUAUAAGAUCAUGGCCCACGGGAUGCUUGACGGCCCGUUUGCCAUGCCGCCCAUCAUGUCCACAUGCAACCGCAACUGCUAG